GAUGAACGCUGGCGGCGUGCCUAAUACAUGCAAGUCGAGCGAACAGACGAGGAGCUUGCUCCUCUGACGUUAGCGGCGGACGGGUGAGUAACACGUGGAUAACCUACCUAUAAGACUGGGAUAACUUCGGGAAACCGGAGCUAAUACCGGAUAAUAUAUUGAACCGCAUGGUUCAAUAGUGAAAGACGGUUUUGCUGUCUCUUAUAGAUGGAUCCGCGCCGCAUUAGCUAGUUGGUAAGGUAACGGCUUACCAAGGCAUCGAUGCGUAGCCGACCUGAGAGGGUGAUCGGCCACACUGGAACUGAGACACGGUCCAGACUCCUACGGGAGGCAGCAGUAGGGAAUCUUCCGCAAUGGGCGAAAGCCUGACGGAGCAACGCCGCGUGAGUGAUGAAGGUCUUCGGAUCGUAAAACUCUGUUAUUAGGGAAGAACAAAUGUGUAAGUAACUAUGCACGUCUUGACGGUACCUAAUCAGAAAGCCACGGCUAACUACGUG
Molecule: ribosomal RNA, 497 nt
Filed under: uncultured bacterium
Lineage: Bacteria
Description: partial 16S ribosomal RNA
Rfam family: Bacterial small subunit ribosomal RNA
Source: RNAcentral